This 31-nucleotide non-coding RNA is filed under the name Rattus norvegicus (Norway rat). Lineage: Eukaryota; Metazoa; Chordata; Mammalia; Rodentia; Muridae. The record is from RNAcentral.
UGUGAGGUAUUAGCUAAGUUAGGCUAAUUGA